AAAUCUCAACCUUCUCGGUUUUCUUCUGGACACCGAAGGAGGCUUGGACUUUGGAGGCCUUUGCUGGCAUCUCUCUCUUUUUGAGAGCCAGCUCCUCUUAAAUGAAUUAGCGGGGUCCUCUUUGCCGAUCCUCGACAUGUGAUAAGAUGUUUCCAUGACUUGGUUUCUGGCUCUGUUGCCUUUGGGACCCGCUUCUAACCGUCUCUCGACGAGACAAUGUUUGGGCGUGUCUCCCUUCUCGGGAGACUCUCUCAACCCCACGAACC
This 266-nucleotide unclassified non-coding RNA is filed under the name uncultured Lactarius. RNAcentral describes it as "sequence contains ITS2". Lineage: Eukaryota; Fungi; Basidiomycota; Agaricomycetes; Russulales; Russulaceae. The record is from RNAcentral.